RNAcentral lists this ribosomal RNA (422 nucleotides) under uncultured archaeon. Its description in RNAcentral is "partial 16S ribosomal RNA". It matches the Rfam family "Archaeal small subunit ribosomal RNA", at positions 323 to 746 of the family's 1478-position model. The record is from RNAcentral.
CUACGGGCUGCAGCAGUUACGAAACCUUUACAAUACACGAAAGUGUGAUAAGGGGAUCUCAAGUGCUUUAUCUUUGAUAGAGCUUUUGCUAAGUGUAAAUAGCUUGGCGAAUAAGUGGUGGGUAAGACCGGUGCCAGCCGCCGCGGUAACACCGGCGCCACGAGUGGGAACACAUUUAUUGGGUCUAAAGCGUCCGUAGCCGGUUAGAUAAGUUUUAUGUGAAAUUGUUGGGCUUAACUCAACAGCAUGCAUAAAAAACUGUUUAACUAGGGACCGGGAGGAGAUAGAAGUACGUUAGGGGGAGUGGUAAAAUAUGAUAAUCCCUAAUGGACUGCCAAUGGCGAAGGCAUCUAUCUAGAACGGGUCUGACAGUGAGGGACGAAAGCUAGGGGAGCAAACUGAGAUAAGUUCAUAUCUUAGGC